RNAcentral lists this ribosomal RNA (428 nucleotides) under uncultured archaeon. RNAcentral describes it as "bacterial SSU rRNA". It matches the Rfam family "Archaeal small subunit ribosomal RNA", at positions 474 to 903 of the family's 1478-position model. The record is from RNAcentral.
UACCAGCUCUCCGAGUGGUAGGGAUGAUUAUUGGGCUUAAAGCGUCCGUAGCCGGCUUAGCAAAGUCUCCUGUUAAAUUCAGCGACCUAAUCGUUGAGCCGCGGGAGAUACUACUAGGCUAGGAGGCGGGAGAGGUCGACGGUACUUCUGGGGUAGGGGUGAAAUCCUAUAAUCCCGGGAGGACCACCAGUGGCGAAGGCUGUCGACUAGAACGCGCUCGACGGUGAGGGACGAAAGCUGGGGGAGCGAACCGGAUUAGAUACCCGGGUAGUCCCAGCUGUAAACGAUGCGGGCUAGGUGUUGGGGUGGCUACGUGCCACUUCAGUGCCGCAGGGAAGCCAUUAAGCCCGCCGCCUGGGGAGUACGGCCGCAAGGCUGAAACUUAAGGAUUGGGCGGGGAGCACCACAAGGCGUGAAGCUUGCGGUUC